RNAcentral lists this long non-coding RNA (308 nucleotides) under Equus caballus (horse). RNAcentral describes it as "lncRNA (ENSECAG00000049761.1)". Lineage: Eukaryota; Metazoa; Chordata; Mammalia; Perissodactyla; Equidae. The record is from RNAcentral.
CUCACGUGUCUCACGGAGCAGGAGGCCAGCUUUCCCGAUUGCCCAGGAUGGAACAGAAAGACAUUCUUCAGGCUGGCCUCCAAGCUGGCAGAGACGACAAGACAAGAAUGCAUUGUGGAAGCCCAAGCUGGAUGGAGAUGCAGCGGGAGUAGAUGCUUCAGUCGACAGUUCCAGUUCUGGAGGCUGGGACAUCCCAGAUCAAUUGGCUUGAAGACUUCCUGUCUGGUGAAGACCAGCUUCCUGGUUCAUAGACGGCAUCUUUUUGCUGUGUCCUCGUGUCGGGGGAGGGAGGGAGCUCUCUCAGGUAG